Molecule: ribosomal RNA, 156 nt
Filed under: uncultured bacterium
Lineage: Bacteria
Description: partial 16S ribosomal RNA
Rfam family: Bacterial small subunit ribosomal RNA
Source: RNAcentral
UGAGGAAUAUUGGUCAAUGGCCGGAAGGCUGAACCAGCCAAGUCGCGUGAGGGAAGACGGCCCUACGGGUUGUAAACCUCUUUGUCAGGGAGCAAACCUCUCCACGCGUGGGGAGUCGAGAGUACCUGAAGAAAAAGCAUCGGCUAACUCCGUGCC